This 494-nucleotide ribosomal RNA is filed under the name uncultured bacterium. Its description in RNAcentral is "bacterial SSU rRNA". It matches the Rfam family "Bacterial small subunit ribosomal RNA", at positions 903 to 1397 of the family's 1533-position model. The record is from RNAcentral.
AAAUGAAUAGACGGGCACCCGCACAAGCGGUGGAGCAUGCUGUUUAAUUCGACGAUACGCGAAGAACCUUACCAGGGCUUGACAUCCCGGUGACCGGUCUGGAAACAGAUCUUUCCCUUCGGGGACAACGGUGACAGGUGGUGCAUGGUUGUCGUCAGUUCGUGUCGUGAGAUGUUUGGUUAAGUCCAAUAACGAGCGCAACCCUCGUCUUUAGUUACUAACAUUUAGUUGAGGACUCUAAAGAUACUGCCGGUAACAAACCGGAGGAAGGUGAGGAUGACGUCAAAUCAUCAUGCCCCUUAUGUCCUGGGCUACAGGCGUGCUACAAUGGUUGGUAUAAUGAGAUGCAAGAUCGUAAGAUGGAGCUAAUCUAGAAAGCCAAUCUCAGUUCGGAUUGAAGUCUGCAACUCGACUUCAUGAAGUCGGAAUCGCUAGUAAUCCCAAAUCAGAACGUUGGGGUGAAUACGUUCCCGGGUGUUGUACACACCGCCCGU